GGGGAUAUAGCUCAGCUGGGAGAGCGCUUGAAUGGCAUUCAAGAGGUCAGGGGUUCGAUUCCCCUUAUCUCCA
Transfer RNA from Jonquetella anthropi DSM 22815, 73 nucleotides. It matches the Rfam family "tRNA". From Rfam's summary of the family: Transfer RNA (tRNA) molecules are approximately 80 nucleotides in length. The record is from Rfam. NCBI's taxonomy places the organism in Bacteria, Thermotogati, Synergistota, Synergistia, Synergistales, Dethiosulfovibrionaceae.